GUUAGGAAUAUUGGACAAUGGGCGAAAGCCUGAUCCAGCCAUGCCGCGUGAACGAUGAAGGCCUUCGGGUUGUAAAGUUCUUUAGCCGAUGAUUAUAAUGACUGUAGUCGGAAAAUAAGCCCCGGCUAACUUCGUGCCAGCAGCCGCGGUAAUACGAAGGGGGCGAGCGUUAUUCGGAAUCACUGGGCGUAAAGCGUGCGUAGGCGGUUUUGUAAGUUAGGAGUGAAAGCCCAGGGCUCAACCUUGGAAUUGCUCUUAAAACUGCAAGGCUCGAAUCUCGGAGAGGAUAGCGGAAUUGCCAGUGUAGCAGUGAAAUGCGUAGAUAUUGGAAGGAACACCAGUGGCGUAAGCGGCUAUCUGGACGAGUAUUGACGCUGAGGCACGAAAGCGUGGGGAUCAAACAGGAUUAGAUACCCGAGUAGUCC
RNAcentral lists this ribosomal RNA (425 nucleotides) under uncultured bacterium. RNAcentral's name for it is "partial 16S ribosomal RNA". It matches the Rfam family "Bacterial small subunit ribosomal RNA", at positions 354 to 796 of the family's 1533-position model. The record is from RNAcentral.